This 774-nucleotide ribosomal RNA is filed under the name uncultured Neocallimastigales. RNAcentral describes it as "partial large subunit ribosomal RNA". It matches the Rfam family "Eukaryotic large subunit ribosomal RNA", at positions 23 to 616 of the family's 3401-position model. The record is from RNAcentral. Lineage: Eukaryota; Fungi; Neocallimastigomycota; Neocallimastigomycetes; Neocallimastigales.
AGAGAGAGACAUGCGCGCAUAUCAAUAAGCGGAGGAAAAGAAACUAACAAGGAUUCCCCUAGUAACGGCGAGUGAAGCGGGAAGAGCUCAAAUUUGAAAUCUUAAAGGGUUUCCCUUUACGAAUUGUAGUUUAAAGAAGUGUUUUCUGUUGAGGUUUUGGUAAAAGUUCUUUGGAAUAGGACAUCAUAGAGGGUGAGAAUCCCGUAUUUGACCAUUACUUUCAGCUUUGUGAUACACUUUCAAAGAGUCGGAUUGUUUGGGAAUGCAGUCCAAAAUGGGUGGUAAAUUUCAUCUAAAGCUAAAUAUUGGCGAGAGACCGAUAGCGAACAAGUACCGUGAGGGAAAGAUGAAAAGAACUUUGAAAAGAGAGUUAAACAGUACGUGAAAUUGUCAAAAGGGAAGCGUUUGACACCAGUGUUGUUUUUCUGAAAAUCAAUUAAAGAACUGUUUAUGCUAAGUUGUUUAGACUUUAUCAGCUAACUGUUUAGUUUUGAGCUUUUCUUUAAUGCACUUUUCAGUUAACAAGUCAACAUCAAUUUCUUUUGCUGUAAAAAAGCUUGAGGAAGGUGGCUUGAGAUUCGACUUAAGUGUUUAUAGCCUCUUGCCUAUGCAGUCGGAGAGAUUGAGGUCUGCAGCGUAGAUCCUUCGGGGCUAAAUGCAUUUGUGCUAAGUUAUAGCAUUUUAUAGACAACUUGUUGACUAUGAUUUGUCUUGUAGCUUACUCGCUUAUGUUAUUUUACCUACGCUUAGGAUGUUGAGCGCAUGUCUCUCUCU